UACGUAGGGUGCAAGCGUUGUCCGGAAUUAUUGGGCGUAAAGAGCUCGUAGGCGGUCUGUCACGUCGGCUGUGAAAUCCCGAGGCUCAACCUCGGGUCUGCAGUCGAUACGGGCAAACUAGAGUAUUGCAGGGGAGACUGGAAUUCCUGGUGUAGCGGUGAAAUGCGCAGAGAUCAGGAGGAACACCGGUGGCGAAGGCGGCCUACUGGGCCGUCACUGACGCUGAGGCGCGAAAGCUCGGGGAGCGAACGGG
This 253-nucleotide ribosomal RNA is filed under the name uncultured bacterium. Its description in RNAcentral is "partial 16S ribosomal RNA". It matches the Rfam family "Bacterial small subunit ribosomal RNA", at positions 524 to 776 of the family's 1533-position model. The record is from RNAcentral.